AAUGGGGGAAACCCUGACGCAGCAACGCCGCGUGUGUGAUGAAGGCCUUCGGGUCGUAAAGCACUGUGAGGUGGAACGAGCCGCCGGGGGUUAAUACCCUUCGGCCCGACGGUACCACCAGAGGAAGCACCGGCUAACCCUGUGCCAGCAGCCGCGGUAAUACAGGGGGUGCAAGCGUUGUUCGGAAUUAUUGGGCGUAAAGCGCGUGUAGGCGGACCAUUAAGUCUGGUGUGAAAUCCCUCGGCUUAACCGAGGACGUGCAUUGGAUACUGGUGGUCUUGAGUCCUGGAGAGGGUAGCGGAAUUCCCAGUGUAGAGGUGAAAUUCGUAGAUAUUGGGAGGAACACCGGUGGCGAAGGCGGCUACCUGGACAGUGACUGACGCUGAGACGCGAAAGCAUGGGUAGCAAA
This 409-nucleotide ribosomal RNA is filed under the name uncultured bacterium. RNAcentral describes it as "bacterial SSU rRNA". It matches the Rfam family "Bacterial small subunit ribosomal RNA", at positions 370 to 772 of the family's 1533-position model. The record is from RNAcentral.